This is a long non-coding RNA of Gallus gallus (chicken), 6530 nucleotides long. NCBI's taxonomy places the organism in Eukaryota, Metazoa, Chordata, Aves, Galliformes, Phasianidae. The record is from Ensembl.
CGUGCAGUCGUUACAGCACUCGGGAGCGCUGCAGCUCUCUGCUGCCGCCUGUUGGACACAAUGCAGGAAUGAAGGCGCUGCCCCGCAUAUGUAGGGCUGCACCCUGCGUGCAUUGCUCUACGGGUGACACAAGGGAGUAUUAGGGAUAUAAUUAAUGCUGUUUAUAAGUUACUUAAUGGGGGUCAGGGGAUGGGAGGAAAAGGUGUGGGGGUUUGGGUAUCAUACAGAUUAGGAAACAAAUAGCAUCUCCUGACAAUUGGGAUGAGAUAUCUGGAGAUCCUGACUGUAGUCAUCCAGAAGAGGAUGACUACAGUCAUCCUUUCUUUUUUAUUAACACAAACCCAGAUCUGCUGGUGAAACAGAAAUGACCGUAAGACCCUGGGGAAGUCAGCAUAGUCGUGAUGUUCCAUUAGCUGCUCCACAGGCCUCACACCACCAAUUAGAGGAGUCCCAACAAUCCUUAAAACCCACUGAGCUGCAAACUGAGAUCAGAAGAGAGGACAUAAUUUAAAACAUGAUAAUGAUGCCCAGCAUGCCCUUAAACAACUCUGCGUGGGUGCAAUUAACACAUGGCACUGUGAAUUACAGCCAUGAGAUGGGAUGAUGGGGGAGAAGACAAACCACAUUUGGAGCCGAGGUUGGAGAUCAUGAGGUGAAAACCAUGAAAGAGGAAACAGCGGCUCAAUCAGAAAGAAAUGGGCUUAAAAAGGGCUGCAAACAGGACCUGCAGAAUGCAGAACCCCUGAACGGAAUAGGGUAUUAACUGUCACCGUGUCCAGAACUGCAGCGCUCAGUCAGCCAAUCAGCAUCAUUAGGGCUCAUUGAAGCAAUCCAGAAGCAAGGGAACUGUGAAAGGAAGGAAUGGGUGUCAGUCCAUCCAUCAACUGCUCAGAGAACAGGAGAGAACCCCUUCAUCUCCCUUAGGACAAGACUGAAGGCACCGUAGGGACACACACAGCAGAUACAGCUGCUCUAAUCCAGCUCAGGAUCUCCCCGGAAAGACAUGGCUCACAGCUCUACAAUAAAGCAGGAAUCCCUCACCCCAUUUAAGGGCUUCCCCCCACACCCCAAAGGAAGCAGUCUCCAAGUUCAGAUACAGGCCUGAAAGCUACCAGUUCUUACAUGGGGUCAAGAUCUCCCCAAAAGAGGAGCUCAGAGCCCUGAAAUUCAGAAAGAACCACUUACCCCAUUCCAAGGACCAAUACUCACUCGCUCCCCCAAAGAAGCAGUUUCCAGGUACAGAUGGCCGCCAGCCCCAAAAUGCAGCUAUGAACCCCCAGCAAAGGGAUAGAUCACAGCCCUCCAAUACAGAAGAACUCACCCCCACACCCUCAAGGAAGCACAGCCAGACUCAGAUGCUGCCCCCUUUGCUUCCCAGCCCUUAAAUGCGGUCAGGGAGGGGAGGAGCCCGUCUCAGCCCCACCCCACAGCCAAAUUGCCAUCAGCUGUGCUCGCAGGGCUGCACCUCCCCAGGUGAAUGGGAGCUGCUGAGUCAUGGCCUGAACCACUGAUUGAUUGGCUGAGGCAGAACUUAGUCAGCUGUGGGAGCACAGGUGGAGUCAAUCCAGUGUGAAUAGAAGGUGGAGCCUGGCUGCAGCUCUCCAAGAUAGCAUUUAAGGGCUGACUACCCCCAGGAAAGGGUCUUUAUUGUAACUUUGGGAUGUUUGUUUUCAGGAUUCACUAUCAGAGCAUCUUAUAAGGCAAUAAGAGUUCAAGAGUCUACAUCGUGGAUGAGUGUGCUGCUUCCCUGAGCACUUCGGAUCCUCAAAAAAGGAAAAAGGAGCAACAUUCCUGGAGGAGCUGGCAAAAAAAGGUAGGCAUUUUGAUUACUUACAUACACAUGGAUAAUAUAGAUAUUUCAGGUUGACUGAUUGCAUCACUACAAAAUCAUGCAUUUUCUUUCAAAAAAAUCCACAUAUACCAGAAAAACAUCCAUUUUCUCUCUGAAAAUCCCCCGUUUACUCAACUAGCAUGCAUUUUCUCUUAGAAAAUACCCCAUCUACCCAAAUGACAAGCAUUCUGAUUACAAAAUCCGAAACUAAAAAAGAAAAUCAUCACUUUCUCAAUGAAAAUUCCACAUUAAAGCAAAAAUCAUGCAUUUCAUCUUCAAAAAUUCUCCAUUUAACCCGAAUGUCAUCAAAUGGCUCUAUGAAAAUUUCAAAUAAAACAUAACAUCAUGCAUUUUCACUUUGAGAACCACCCAAUUAAAGCAAAAAUAAGGCAAUGACUUCACAAAUCCCCCAUUUAGGCAUAAGUCACGCGUUUUCUCUCCAGAAUCCUCCAUUUAACCCGAAAAUCACGCGUUUUCUCUUCGAGAAUCCCCCAUUUAACCGAAAAUCACGCGUUUUCUCUUCGCAAAUCCCCCAUUUAACUCAAAAUUCACGCGUUUUCUCUUCGGAAAUCCCCCAUUUAACCCGAAAAUCACGCGUUUUCUCUUGGAGAAUCUUCCAUUUAACCCGAAAAUCACUCAUAUCCUCUGCGCAAAUCCCCCAUUUAACUCGAAAAUGACGCGUUUUCUCUUUGCAAAUCCCCCAUUUAAGCGAAAAUCACGCGUUUUCUCUUCACAAAUCCCACAUUUAACCCGAAAAUCACGCGUUUUCUCUUCGCAAAUCCCCUUUUAACCGGAAAAUCACGCGUUUUCUCUUCGCAAAUCCACCACUUCACCCGAAAAACACGCGUUUUCUCUUCGAGAAUCCCCCAUUUAACCCAAAAAUCACGCGUUUUCUCUUCGCAAAUCCCCCAUUUAACUCAAAAAUCAUGCGUUCUCUCUUCGCAAAUCCCCCAUUUAAGUGAAAAUCAUAUGUUUUCUCUUUGGAAAUCCCCAAUUUAACAGAAAAUCAUGCGUUUUCUCUUCGAGAACCCCCCAUUUAAGCGAAAAUCCCGCGUUUUCUGUUCAAGAAUCCCCCAUUUAAGCGAAAAUCACGCGUUUUCUGUUCAAGAAUCCUCCAUUUAACCCGAAAAUCACGCGUUUUCUCUUGUAAAAUCCCCCAUUUAAGCGAAAAUCACGUUUUCUCUUCGAGAAUCCCCCAUUUAAGCGAAAAUCACGCGUUUUCUCUUCGCAAAUCCCCCAUUUAACUCGAAAAUCACGCAUAUCCUCUUCGCAAAUCCCCCAUUUAACCCGAAAAUCACGCGUUUUCUCUUGGAGAAUCUUCCAUUUAACCCGAAAAUCACUCAUAUCCUCUGCGCAAAUCCCCCAUUUAACUCGAAAGUGACGCGUUUUCUCUUUGCAAAUCCCCCAUUUAAGCGAAAAUCACGCGUUUUCUCUUUGCAAAUCCCCCAUUUAAGCGAAAAUCACGCGUUUUCUCUUCGCAAAUCCCCCAUUUAACUCAAAAAAUGACGCGUUUUCUCUUCACAAAUCCCCCAUUUAACCAAUAAUCACGUGUUUUCUCUUCGAGAAUCCCUUUUCUAACCCGAAAAUCACGCAUUUUCUCUUCGAGAAUCCCCCAUUUAACCCGAAAUCACUCGUUUUCUCUUCGAGAAUCCCCCUUUUAACCUGAAAAUCACACGUCUUCUCUUCGGAAAUUGCCCAUUUAAGCGAAAAUCACGCAUAUUCUUUUUGAGAGUCCCCCUUUUAACCUGAAAAUCACACGUUUUCUCUUCCCAAAUCCCCCAUUUAAGCCGAAAAUCACGCGUUUUCUCUUCGCAAAACCCCCAUUUAACCCGAAAAUCACGCGUUUUCUCUUCCCAAAUCCCCCAUUUAAGCGAAAAUCAUGCGUUUUCUCUUCGCAAAUCCCACAUUUAACCCGAAAAUGACGCAUUUUCUCUUCACAAAUCCCCCAUUUAAGCGAAAAUCACGCAUUUUCUCUUCGCAAAUCCUCCAUCUAAGCAAAAAUCACGCAUUUUUUCUUCGAGAAUCCCCCAUUUAACCCGAAAAUCACGCGUUUUCUCUUCGAGAUUCCCCCAUUUAAGCGAAAAUCACGCGUUUUCUCUUCGCAAAUCCCCCAUUUAACUCGAAAAUCACGCAUAUCCUCUUCGCAAAUCCCCCAUUUAACUCGAAAAUCACGCGUUUUCUCUUGGAGAAUCUUCCAUUUAACCUGAAAAUCACUCAUAUCCUCUGCGCAAAUCCCCCAUUUAACCCGAAAAUGACGCGUUUUCUCUUUGCAAAUCCCCCAUUUAAGCCGAAAAUCACGCGUUUUCUCUUCGCAAAUCCCCCAUUUAACUCGAAAAUCACGCAUAUCCUCUUCGCAAAUCCCGCAUUUAACCCGAAAAUCACGCGCUUUCUCUUGGAGAAUCUUCCAUUUAACCCGAAAAUCACUCAUAUCCUCUGCACAAAUCCCCCAUUUAACUCGAAAAUGACACGUUUUCUCUAUGCAAAUCCCCCAUUUAAGCGAAAAUCACGCGUUUUCUCUUCGCAAAUCCCCCAUUUAACUCGAAAAUCACUCAUAUCCUCCUCGCAAAUCCGCCAUUUAACCCGAAAAUCACGCAUUUUCUCUUCGGAAACCCCCCAUUUAACCAAAAAUCAUGUGUUUUCUCUUCGAGAAUCCCUUUUCUAACCCGAAAAUCACGCAUUUUCUCUUCGAGAAUCCCCCAUUUAACCCGAAAUCACUCGUUUUCUCUUCGAGAAUCCCCCUUUUAACCUGAAAAUCACACGUCUUCUCUUCGGAAAUUGCCCAUUUAAGCGAAAAUCACGCAUAUUCUUUUUGAGAGUCCCCCAUUUAACCCGAAAAUCACGCGUUUUCUCUUCCCAAAUCCCCCAUUUAAGCGAAAAUCACGCGUUUUCUCUUCGCAAAUCCCACAUUUAACCCGAAAAUGACGCAUUUUCUCUUCACAAAUCCCCCAUUUAACCCGAAAAUCACGCGUUUUCUCUUCGCAAAUCCUCCAUCUAAGCAAAAAUCACGCAUUUUCUCUUCGAGAAUCCCCCAUUUAACCCGAAAAUCAUGUGUUUUCACUUUGCAAAUCCACCUUUUAACUCGAAAAUCACGUUUUCUUUUUGAGAAUCCCCCAUUUAAGCGAAAAUCACGCGUUUUCUCUUCGCUAAUACCCCAUUUAACUAAAAAUCACGUGUUUUCUCUUCGAGAAUCCCCCAUUUAACCCGAAGAUCAUACGCUUUCUCUUCAGAAAUCUUCCAUUUAACCCGAAAAUCACUCGUUUUCUCUUCAAGAAUCCCCCAUUUAAGCGAAAAUCACGCGUUUUCUCUUCGCAAAUCCCCCAUUUAACUCGAAAAUGACGCGUUUUCUCUUUGCAAAUCCCUCAUGUAGGCGAAAAUCACGCUUUUUCUCUUCGCAAAUCCCCCAUUUAACUCGAAAAUGACGCAUUUUCUCUUCGCAAAUCCCCCAUAUAGGCGAAAAUCACGCGUUUUCUCUUCGCAAAUCCCCCAUUUAACUCGAAAAUCACGCAUAUCCUCUUCGCAAAUCCCCCAUUUAACCCGAAAAUCACGCGUUUUCUCUUGGAGAAUCUUCCAUUUAACCCGAAAAUCACUCAUAUCCUCUGCGCAAAUCCCCCAUUUGACUCGAAAAUGACACGUUUUCUCUUUGCAAAUCCCCCAUUUAAGCGAAAAUCACGCGUUUUCUCUGCGCAAAUCCCCCAUUUAACCUGAAAAUCACGUGUUUUCUCUUCGCAAAUCCCCCAUUUAAGCGAAAAUCACGUGUUUUCACUUCGCAAAUCUUCCAUUUAACCCGAAAAUCACGCAUUUUGUCUUCACAAAUCCCCCUUUUAACCCGAAAAUCUCGUGUUUUCCCUUCGCAAAUCUUUCAUUUUACCCGGAAAUCACGCAUUUUCUCUUCGGAAAUCCCCCUUUUAUCUCGAAAAUCACGCGUUUUCUCUUCGCAAAUCCCCCAUUUAACCCGAAAAUCACGCGCUUUCUCUUCGCAAAUCCCCCAUUUAAGCGAAAAUCACGCGUUUUCUCUUUGAAAAUCCCCCGUUUAACCGAAAAUCACGCGUUUUCUCUUUGAGAAUCCCCCAUUUAACCCAAAAAUCAUGCGUUUUCUCUUCGCAAAUCCUCCAUCUAAGCAAAAAUCACGUGUUUUCUCUUCGAGAAUCCCCCAUUUAACCCGAAAAUGAUGCGUUUUCUCUUCCAGAAUCCCCCUUUUAACUCGAAAAAGACACAUAUCCAAUUCGGAAAUCACCCAUUUGAGCGAAAAUCACGCAUUUUCUCUUCGAGAAUCCCCCAUUUAACCAAAAAUCACGUGUUUUCUCUUCGCAAAUCCCCCAUUUAAGCGAAAAUCACACGUUUUCUCUUCGAGAAUCCUCCAUUUAUCCCGAAAAUCACGCAUUUAAUCUUUGCAAAUCCCACUUUUAAGCGAAAAUCACGCAUUUUCUCUUCGGAAAUUUCACAUUUAAUUGAAAAUCACGUAUUUUCUCUUCGAGAAUCCCCCAUUUAACCCAAAAAUCAUGUGUUUUCUCUUCAGAAAUCUUCCAUUUAACCCGAAAAUCACUCGUUUUCUCUUCGAGAAUCCACCAUUUAACCCGAAAAUCACGCGCUUUCUCUUCGCAAAUCCCCCUUUUAACCUGGAAAUCACGCAUGUCCUCUUUGCAAAUCCCCCAUUUAACUCGAAAAUCACGCGUUUUCUCUUUGAAAAUCCCCCAUUUAG